This is a non-coding RNA of Coturnix japonica (Japanese quail), 6984 nucleotides long. The record is from RefSeq and is a predicted model, not a curated record. Lineage: Eukaryota; Metazoa; Chordata; Aves; Galliformes; Phasianidae.
GUGGUGGAUGUGGACUUUAAAACAGUGUCUCAACAUUUCAUCCUCAACUGUCUCUUUUUAAUCUGAUUGCACUACAAAAGAAAAGCUGCUAAUGGGAUAAAUGUUGAGACGUUACAAGAACUGACUUGAAGUACCAAAAGCCAUUAUUAUUAAUCAAGAAGAGCUUGAAGCUAAGUCUGUAUCUGACCAGUCAGUAUCACUUUCACCUAACAGGCAUGGCAAGUAAACGAAAAUCAACAACACCGUGCAUGGUCUUGGCCAACGAGCAAGAUCCGGAUCUCGAAAUGGUAUCAGACUUGGAGGAAGGACCACCUGUAGUCAAGCCAGCAGAUAAUAAUCCUACAGCAGAGAGCAUAGCAAGCGAAGAGGAUGUCCAUGAGAACGUGGAUUCAGACAAUCAGAAAAAUACAAAUAAAGUAGAAGGUGGUUAUGAGUGUAAAUACUGUUCUUUUCAGACUCCAGAUCUCAAUAUGUUUACUUUCCAUGUGGACUCAGAACAUCCCAAUGUAGUAUUAAAUUCAUCCUAUGUCUGUGUAGAAUGCAAUUUUCUCACCAAAAGAUACGAUGCUCUCUCAGAACAUAAUUUGAAGUAUCACCCUGGAGAGGAGAAUUUUAAGUUGACCAUGGUGAAACGUAAUAAUCAGACAAUCUUUGAACAAACAGUAAAUGAUCUCACUUUUGAUGGGAGUUUUGUUAGAGAAGAAAAUGCUGAACAGGCUGACCCUUCUGAGCCCCCCUCCGCUGGGAUCUCCAUUAGCAAAACUCCUAUUAUGAAAAUGAUGAAAAACAAAACUGAGACUAAACGCAUUGCUGUUUUCCACAAUGUAGUCGAUGGCAUUCCUGGUGAAGAGAAGGGAAAGGAAAAUGAGCCAAACUCUGAAGAAGUAGUAGAAAACCCACCACUGGCAGUUUCUGAGUCCAAAGCGAGCCAUUCGGUUGCUUGCAGUGCGGCCGAUGUAGCUAGUACGGUUGUGACCCCAGUGAUUCAGCCUGGGGUGGCACAGGUUAUAACGGCUGUUACAGCUCCACAGAACUCAAACCUGAUCCCCAAAGUCCUGAUACCUGUAAACAGCAUUCCAACCUAUAAUACUGCUUUGGACAACAAUCCUCUUUUGCUCAACACCUAUAACAAAUUCCCAUAUCCAACCAUGUCAGAGAUCACUGUUCUUUCCACUCAAGCUAAGUACACCGAGGAACAGAUUAAAAUCUGGUUUUCUGCCCAGCGUCUGAAACAUGGUGUGAGCUGGACACCAGAGGAAGUGGAGGAAGCAAGGAGGAAACAAUUUAAUGGCACAGUGCAUACUGUGCCACAGACAAUUACCGUUAUUCCAGCGCAUAUUUCCGCUGCCAGCAAUGGUUUACCUUCAAUUUUACAGACAUGCCAAAUAGUUGGUCAGCCAGGACUUGUUCUCACUCAAGUUGCAGGUGCAAAUACGUUACCAGUAACAGCCCCAAUAGCUUUGACUGUAGCAGGAGUCCCAAACCAAACCCAGUUACAGAAGAGUCAGAUUCACACUGCUCAGCCUAUUGCAGAAACCAAACAAGUUGCUGCCGUUCCAGCCCCUCAGCCUAUCAAAAAUGAAACCGCACACAUGAAUCCCGAUAACUUUGGCAUGCGAGCAAAAAAAACAAAGGAGCAACUGGCAGAAUUAAAGGUCAGCUACCUUAAAAAUCAGUUUCCUCAGGAUUCAGAAAUUAGUAGACUUAUGAAAAUAACAGGCCUGACUAAGGGAGAGAUCAAGAAGUGGUUCAGCGAUACACGCUACAAUCAGAGAAACUCAAAGAAUAACCAUGGGAUCCAUCUCAACAGUGACUCAUGUGCCACCAUCAUUAUUGACUCCAGUGACGAAAUGAAUGAGUCUCCAACAGGAGUUGUUCCACAGAACAAGUCGUCCUGGAGUGCAUUUCCUGACUUCACCCCACAGAAAUUCAAAGAGAAGACAGCCGAGCAGUUGCAAGUCCUCCAAGCAAGUUUUCUUAAUAAUCCUGUCCUUACUGAUGAAGAGAUGAAUAGGUUAAGAGCCCAAACCAAACUUACCAGGAGAGAGAUUGAUGCCUGGUUUACAGAAAGAAGGAAAUCUACUGUCUUAAAGGAGGAGGGGACUGAGAUGAAUGAGAGCAAUGCCAGCAGCUCAAAAGAGGAAGCUGCGGGAGAAACAUCUGUGGGAGAUGGAGCAGCAGGGUCAAAAUCAGGGAGCACCGCUUCAAGCAAAGUAGGCAAAAAAUCACCAGAGCAGUUGCACAUGCUUAAAAGUUCUUUUGUCCGUACUCAGUGGCCAUCUCCACAGGAGUACAACAAGCUGGCAGAAGAAACGGGGCUCCCGAGAUCAGAAAUUGUGAGUUGGUUUGGAGAUACUCGCUAUGCCUGGAAAAAUGGGGGAUUGAAGUGGUAUUAUUACUACCAGAGUGCCAAUGCAAACAGUCUGAAUGGCCAAGGCUUUUCAAGGAAGAGAGGGAGAGGAAGACCAAAGGGGCGGGGAAGAGGGAGGCCUCGAGGGAGGCCUCGGGGAAGCAAGAGGUUAAAUUGCUGGGACCGAGGUGUGUCUGUCAUAAAAUUCAAAACUGGAACAGCAAUCUUGAAGGACUACUAUAUGAAGCACAAAUUCCUUAAUGAGCAAGACCUUGAUGAACUCGUAGCUAAAUCUCACAUGGGGUAUGAGCAGGUCAGAGAGUGGUUUGCAGAAAGGCAGAGAAGAUUAGAACUCGGAAUAGAGCUGUUUGAGGAAAACGAGGAGGAAGAUGAAAUGCUGGAAGAUCAGGAAGAUGAAGAGGAAACGGAUGAUAGUGAUACUUGGGAACCCCCACGACAUGUUAAGCGUAAACUUUCAAAAUCAGAUUGAUGUGCAGUUUGGAAUCUGGGAGCCAAAAACCUGUGAGUUAGGUUUGAUGUUAUGGUGAAGAGCCAAACAAUUUUUCAUGGCCUUCAGCUUCAGCAAGCACCUGCUUAGCAUCUUCGUUGCACCUGAAGGAACGUGGGCAAGAUGCUGUCUGCGCAGGCAACAGAUAUUUGCUUCCUUGCUACCAGAGAUGGAUGUCCUUGGGCCUAGCUGAGCAUGUGGGGUUAUAAAUCAGCGCCAGUUCAGCUCCUUCUCUCCCACAUGACCAGUGGGAAGGUUCAUCAUUCAUGUGACUGCUACUCAAUAUUUAAUGGCCUUAUGUUGUUUAAUUCCAAAAAACAAACAAACCACAGACACAUUUUUCUGUUGUUGUAGGAGAACAUUACCUGCUCGCAGAGGAGGAAAGUGCAAAAACCUAAGAUGUCUUUUUGCAAACAUCACUUCACCUGAAAGGUUUCAAGGCCUGGGUUUGUUUCUUAAGGAAAGAAUUCAAAAGAGAAGGGGAAAAGUGUGACAAAGGAAUCAAUGAAUAUAGGGCAUGUAUGUAUUUGCACUGUGUACUGUGGGAGAGAGGGAAACACCUUCCAGAGGCCUCCUGCAUCAGAAAUGACAAGAAAAGCACUGGAAAGAGCUGUCAGCGUGCUGGUGGCUGACAGGAUGGACUGCUUUGUCUGUAACUUGUGGUCGUGGCUGGUUGGAGCUCAAAACUGCUGGUAACUGUGGUUAGUCCAGAUUCAUCUCAUCUCCUGUUAGGCUGCUGUGCUCCUUACCGUGGUGCCCAAGGCAUACUGCAUUGCCUGAGAGAAAUAGAAAUUGUCGAGGGGAUUCAGCACAUCCUCAUUCUCUCCCUGGAUUGACGUGAGCAUCAGUUCCUCUGGAGCUAAAGUUGAGAUUUCUCCUUCAUCUGCUGUCUGCCAAGAGUACCUGAUGUUACAAUGCUAGUUAAUGCUGUCUGUGGAAUACAGUUAACUGAGGAUGAAGGUAAUCCUUUGCUAGAAUUGAGAGGGAGAAGGGCUAAAAGCAAGCAGUGUCGCAAUUGGUGAGCCAUCCAUUGUCCCUUACCACAGUGCUUCAUGGCAUGUUCUGCUCUUGCUUCUGAGUACAAUGGAAAGCACAGUUCUGUCUAUGUAGUGCUGGCUUUCCAGUGUUGCCCUCUUAAUAACCCCAAGAUUGGUGUGAGUUAUAAAAAGAAAGUCAGCGUUACUCCCCCUUGCUUUGAAUGAACUGAGGGAGUGCUUGUGUGGUAUGCAAAGAAAGGAAAAUGCAGAAUCUUGAAGAGACCGCCUGUUGCUUGCCCUGCAGAAUUCACUUACCUAGAACCUGAUGAGAAAACUAAUGUUACGCUUGCUGUUCUGACAGAACAACUGUUGCAGUCUCUCAUGUUUAGCAUGUACAAAUCUCUGCUUUGAUUUGAAGGCAAAAGAAAGAUAUCUAGCACCUGGUGAUUAGAAUGUACUGGAUUAUCUCUAAUACACCUUAGUAAAUUAGGCCAUUCCAUUUUUCAGCUUUGUCCGAUAAUGAUUUUAAAGCUUUUAUUUUUUUAUCCCACAGCAUUACAUGCAGGAUUGUUUCUGUCUGUAACUCUGAAGGAAACUCAUGCAGAAUCCACAUGUGGCAUGAAAUAAUUUUUCUAAUGCAUGACUUGCUGACUUCGGGCAAAAGCCUAUUUUCUUCCAGCUCACCAAGGAACCGAGGCAGGCAAAUGCACUCCUUUUUCCUCUGCAGAGCAGAGAAAGGAUUCCUGAAGCCCAUGCGAAGUGAUUCACAGCGCGAUGCAGUCCCAAAGGCCAGAAGGCCCCAGCAUGCAGACAUUCUCCUCCUCCUUCUCUAUUUUCCUCUGAAAUGAGAGCACAGCAGCAACUCUGACAACUGGUCUCUGUCUGCUGAGUAAUAAGCUGUAGUUUUAGGUCAGGAGUAUUUUCCCUUUUGCACUUAAUGGAGUACUGUGUAUUCGAAUUGGAUCUCAGUGUUUGCUUUUGUAGAUACAACGGUCCCAAUUUGCAUCCUCCACCACCUCCUCCUGUCUGUCUAUAUUCAUAUCUCCCAAGGAGAGAAGAUAAUUGUUAAGAUUCUGUAAUGUUAAAUAUCCCUGCCCUUACCUGAAUACACCCACAUGUAGAGCUCAAUGAAAUAUAGUUACUUUCCUUGAUUUAAUUUAUUAUUUAUUGGAAGAUUAUUUUGCCUGCAUUUAGUAGUAAUGAAAAUACAGUACUGAUGAGAGAACAGUAGAACUCUUGAGAGGUAUUCACAAUACCUGGGAUGAUGGUAUAAGUUACAGAUGGGAAGGGCAAGUGCAGGGCUCAGUUCUGUGCCCUGAGCAGCGCUGUGUUGUGCUUGUGUUCUCCAUCAGGCUUCUGAUAUCAUAGGGCUGAGUACGUAUGGUAUGUGGCAUGACACAGACUUGUUGGGUCAAGUGACUUAAGGUUUGUGAUGUAUUAAAACUAGGUAGGAAAUGAAAGCUGUAGCAGAAGGUGAACAUUUCAAUAACUACAUGCUCAGUAGCUUGAAUUUCUGUAUUGUUAUCUCACUUUUGAAAAGGGAGAUUUUGAAGCACAGACCGGUUAUAGACAGUAUUUUCAAGUUGAAUAGUCUGAGCUUUGGGGUUUUCUUCCUUCUGCAGUGAAGAGCAUCUAUGUUUUUUUCCAGUGUUUUAUACAUUUUAAAAAUGACUUAACACAGCAUUUAAAAUGUUGAAUGGUAACUGAGGAUCCCACCGCACUUUUCAUGAAUGAAGGUGGGAUUCUUCUGAUUGUAUGUCGGUGUCUGCCUUUGAGCAAGACGCCGUAGUAGCUGAUCAGUACAGCUAACGAGUGCGUGUCAGCAGCUCAUCCUAACUGCCUGCAGUUGAUCAGAUGAGCUGCGCCCUGAACUCCACUGACUGUUACAAGUGGCUCGCAGACACUGGAGUUAGAGCCAUUUGAAGUUAGUUGAGAUGCAGCCUCACCUUGGAGCGCGCUGGCUGGCUGGCAGCACUGUGCGUUGUGUCCUGUUGAGCUUUCCUUGUGGUUAGCCAUGGUACUCUCCUCUGCUCCCCACCUGGCGCUCACUGGGAGAUGUGAGGCCUUGGUUUGGUAUGGUUUGGUUUUGGUAGUUAUUCUAGAGCAGGUGGCAAUACAGUGGUGGAUAAAGUAACUGAUCCUUGGUUAUAGAACUGUGGCAUAAAUAUGGUUUGGGGGUUUCUGAGUUUUGUAGAGAGAAUGUUACUGUAUGAACAUUGGAUUGUGCGUAUCUUAAAAUGUGUUGAGACAAGUCAGACUUGUGUCCCCAUUGAUCAAAGCAUUUCCUUACCCUUAUUCAGUACCAGAUAUCUAUCAUGAAACUUAUGUAAAGAAUCUGCCAGAAUGACGAAGAUUCGAGUUGUCUUCAUUUGUGAUACAAAACAACCCACCACAAGAGCUCCACUACGAUUCUGGAAUGUUCCCCAUGCCUCCAGUUCCAGCUUACAGAAGCAUUUCCAGUUCCGCUUAGUUGGUUAUCUGCAUGUAUGCUUACAGUUUGUACAGAAAUGCACUAAAAAUGAGUUGCCCGACCCGGGAAGGCUUUAUAUUGUAUAGAAAAUGUGGCACUAGGUACUGCUCUUCAUGUGCACAGGAGAGUUAACAGGUGUCGAUCUCGUUUACAGAAAUGAUGGAGCUUUGCAAUUUUCUAGAAUACAUUGCAAUAUAUUUAAAUGUCCUGUUUGACGUGUGAAAUGAAAUUAAGUUAAUGCAUUGUUAUGUAUUUGAAUAUGAGGAAGAUGAUUCACUAACGACCAGCAAGGUUUUUAGAAGGUAAUCAGUAUGUAGCAGUCUGUGUGAUCUGUCUGGUGUAUGUGAUGUUGCUAAAGGAAGCAACGCUAUUAUUAUUGUUUAGAAUUAAGAGUUUCUUACGAGUGAUGCAAUAGCUUACAGUGUCUUUCCUUUGUAGCUGCCCAGUGUGGUGAAGGGGAAGCAGUUCUUGAAAAAGUUCAAGAUAACUGGUUAACUGUGAAUGGGCCUAAUCUUUCGUGCAACCAAGAAAAUAUUUGGACACACACAGGACUUGAAUACUCUAAAGGAUUGGAACUUAGUGUUGUGCCAAAGUUAAAACUACUGCAGUUGGCAGAAGUUCUGCACUGUAAAUAGAAGACUGAUUAAAAGACAGCUUGUAAAAAAAAAAAAAAAAGAAA